Molecule: long non-coding RNA, 3825 nt
Organism: Girardinichthys multiradiatus
Lineage: Eukaryota; Metazoa; Chordata; Actinopteri; Cyprinodontiformes; Goodeidae
Exons: 2
Source: RefSeq, a predicted model, not a curated record
UGACACCCUUUAGGAGGGUUAAGAACAGGCAUAGAUAAAAGCAGGACUCACGCUCCAUUCUUUGCUCCUCUCGGUUCAUCCCUAAGAUGGGCUGACGGGGGCCCGGUACCGAAGGUGAAUGUCACUGUGUAUCUGUUCAAUUGUUUACUCUGUAUACUCAUCAUUCUGGCAUUAAAUCUUGAUUUUAUACUUAACCAUUUCUCAUUAUUUUACAAGGUAAAUACUUUGCUGGUUUUACUGGUUGGGUCUUGGAACUGGAGAGAAAUGGACCCGGUCGUGCACAGGGAGGGAAGAGAGCAGAAACUCCCAUUUAACAACAAAAAGGUGAUACAUUUUCCUAAUGACAAACAAAAUGCAUUAAAUGUGUUUUUCCAGACCAUUUGUAUCUUCUCUUCAAGCUGUUUAAGUUUGACAACAGAGAAUGGAAGAAUUUACUAUUCAAAAACUUACCUUAAACUCCCAGUUAACCAAAGCAGAUAUGGCAGCAAUUCAAUCCCUUGACGCAUCUACCUGUGGUGAAGACAAAGUCAGUAAAAACUGAACAUCAUAAUGAAGAAGAAAGGAGAUUUAAGUGACUUGGAAUGUGGCAUUGUUGUUGGUGCCACUCCAAGGUUUCAGAAACUGCUGGUCUGCUGGGAUUUUCACUCACAACCAUCUUGGACAGACUGAUUCCAGGUGACAGAAAGACAAUAGUUGCUCAAAUAACCAGUCAUUACAACACAGAUAUGUAGAAUACCAAGUCUGAAUACACAAUGUGAAGUACCUUGAAGCAGAUGAGCUACAGCAGCCGAAGACCACACCAGGUGCUGCAUCUCGGUGGUAUUUUGCUGUAAGGGAUCCCAUGGUCCCAACUGACCAAUAUUAAAAUACCACAGCCUAUCUGAAUACUGUUGCUGACCAUGUUCGUCCCUUUAUGACCACCGUUUCCCCAACUUCUAAUGGUUUCCUGAAUCGUACUCCAGUGGCCUCAACAAUCCCUAGAUUGCAAUCUAAUGAAGCAACUUUUGGAUGAGAUGAAUUAGAAGAUUAAUGUCAUGGAUGUGCAGUGAACAAAUAUGCAUUAAUCUGUGUGAUGCUAAAGGUCUCAAAGUAGUGCUUUUGACACUGCGUUGAUUCUGUACAAAGAAUCAAUGCAGUUGUGAAGGAAAAAAGAGGGUCCAACAUGGUAUUAGCAAGGUUUACCUAAGAAGUGGAUGGUGUAUAUGUUGUGUUGUUUACAUAUAGUCUGUUUAAAAGAGCUGUUAGUAAAGAAAUCAUCAUUUGCCUGUCUGCUUCCCUGCGGUUCACUGCUGUGAAACUGAGCCGCUCAUUUUUUCCAUUUGUUUGUAGGGUUAGGAUGACAUUGCAUCACGAGUACUGAAAAUGGACGGUUUGCCUGAGAGCGCAGUGGUGAACAUUGAUCACACAUGGCAACACAAGCUAAAAAUAGCUCAUUCGCUAUUAUAGGAUAUUUGCUCCUUGAGCGUGGUAUCCCCAGCCACUUGGGUCCAAAUUAGACGUAUGCAUUCUGAUAGCACACACAGCAUCCUCCAUCAUGCCUACUCCGCUCGCCUAUUGGUACAGCAGCAGGGAGCAGUUAAAAAAUUUUAGUUUUAUGAUAUAUUAAUAAAUGAUGGAUAAAUAAGUGGUUCAUUUGUUAUACACUGCAGCUGGACCGAGCUAAAGAUUAGGUUGACAGCAAGGAGGCUUUUAAACCUUGAGGACCUGGAGCUUAACACCAAAGAUAAAUCAUCAAAAUGCCAGCAGAAAGUGUAAAAGGCUGGUCAACAUUUAUAAGAAAGCUGUGAUUGGUGGUAAUGCAAAUAAAGAUCUAUCCACUAAUUAUUUGAAAGGGUAUCAGUAUUUUUGACAUGCAAUUUUUUAAAUAGGAUGUGAAAAAAACAUAAUUUUUUUAAAAUAGUAUUGUUCCAAUAUAUUUUAAGCCACCCAGGUACCCCAUACUCCAGCAACAACCCCACAAAAUACCUCGGGUGAGACACUCGUAGGCCUUCUCCAGAUCAACAAAACACAUGUAAUUACAAAGAUCCUGUGACUCAGAGUGAGAAGAAAAGACUCCAAACCCUUCAUACUGUUUAAAAUAGUAGGAGUGGACAAAAGGGCUUAAACGUUAUUACAAAGACAAGUUAAAAAGCAAAGUGUUUAAUUUAUUUAGAAAUUCAACACUAACUGGUGUUAAUCUCUUUCUGUAUUUUUUUCUUUACAUAAGUGCAUAAUUAUUUUCUUAUGGAGCAAAUAUUAUAUUUUUCAGUGUUCAAAAUGUCAGUGUUAAAUGUCCAUGUGUCAAAUUAGGACAAACAGUACAAGUUUGAAUCCUAAUGUACAGAAAUACGGAGUUAUAUGCAGACUAUAUGAGAUAAUCUUCAUUUUGGACUUGUAAAACAAUAAAAUUUAAAAAUCUUUGCCGUGUUCCAGUUGCAAGCAAAAAUAAAUCUGUAAAAGUUGCUAUACUUUGUGCUUAACAUCAAGGCUAACUAUUAUUAGCAAAGUAUCAAUAAAAAUGUAUUUCUCAGCUUUUUCAGUGUUCAGACACUAUACUUACAUAUUUACAACAAGAGGUUGUACAAUAAUAUAAUCGGCAACUGAUUUAUUAAGAUACAAAGUGUCAAAAGUUAAACUUAUUUACCAGAAAUCAAAUUCAGAUAACAUAGUAAGGCAUCAAUAAAACAAAAAGCCACAGCCAGUUUUUCCAGUUUGUUUUGAAAUUUCAUUGUAAAUCGUUAUUUAACUAGAAAGUAAAAACAGGUUUACAUUACUAGUACGUCACUGGAGGCUUCACAGAGAGCAUUAUUUAAGAGGAGAGGGGUACAACUAUUUGUGAUUUUCCCUGCGUUUUUAUGCACAUUUGUUCCUCGGUAGUAUUUGUUUGUAUUCUGCACAGCUGCAACAAAACCCCUGAGCUGUAUGUGUGAAUAUGUUUCUGGAAAAACAAGCAUGGAAGCGAUUCAUAAGGAAAACCAGGGCAGACUGCUAUUCUUACACCGUUGUGGUGAAAUCCAGCAAAGAAAAUGUAUUCAUUUUUUAAUUUUUGCUGUGUUUUUGUUAUGAAUUUACAGUUGUUGAAAAAGAAAUGCAUUUCUGGCUCUUUGCUUUAUUAUUACUGGUGCUAUGUGCAAGUGUGAGGUAGCCAUGAUUGGUUUUGAGGUUGGGGUUCAAACAGAUACAUGUAAGAACAAGUGUUGUGUUACCCUCUGAUGAAAGAAAGUUGGUGAGGAUUUUCAGAAACAUCCCAGGAACCACAAAGAUCCUGACAAGAACUGGAAACAAGUAAAAACCAGCUUUUUGGCCAUAAUGACACAGAGUAUCUUUAAAGGAAUCACGGUGAAGCUUUCAAACCCAAGUACGCUGUACCAACUGUUAAGCAUGAUAAGCAUGAAAUUCCGACUGAGGCGGUGUGAAGAUCAAGUUUUCUGAAUUGGAAUCAGAAAAUUCAGACUUUAGAGCUUCUGUGGGUCGCAUUAAAACCUUCUGACUUUCCUGGUUUGAAUUCUGGACUUCAAGUGGUGUUCCAGUUAAUUUGUCCAACUUGGAACCCUUAGAUUCUGUCAUCUGUGUACAAAUAUAUUUGUAGCAUCAGUCUUUUCUGCACAUCUCAGAAAUAAGUUAUUUUCUAAUAACCACACCUGCACUGCAUUUAUCAUGAUCUCUGUCAGAUUAAAUAGGACAAUGUUACUGUGUUACUUUGUAUUAGUAUUUGUUCUUUUUCUCUACUUGCUAAGAUCAUUUGUGUUUAUGCAUCUCUUGGUUUUCACAUGUAUUUUUCAAUUUUUUUUAAUGCAAUUUCAUUAUCUUCUGUAUCAAAUUAAAGCUUUUUUGAUGUUGCAGACA